GCAAGCGUAACUCAGUUGGUAGAGUGCCACCUUCCCAAGGUGGAUGUCGCGAGUUCGACCCUCGUCGCUUGCUCCA
This 76-nucleotide transfer RNA is filed under the name Pseudobdellovibrionaceae bacterium. Its description in RNAcentral is "Bdellovibrionaceae bacterium (activated sludge metagenome) tRNA-Gly". It matches the Rfam family "tRNA". From Rfam's summary of the family: Transfer RNA (tRNA) molecules are approximately 80 nucleotides in length. Their secondary structure includes four short double-helical elements and three loops (D, anti-codon, and T loops). Lineage: Bacteria; Pseudomonadati; Bdellovibrionota; Bdellovibrionia; Bdellovibrionales; Pseudobdellovibrionaceae. The record is from RNAcentral.